UCGGGAAUUUUGGGCAAUGGGCGAAAGCCUGACCCAGCAACGCCGCGUGAAGGAUGAAGUAUUUCGGUAUGUAAACUUCGUAAGAAUAGGAAGAAUAAAUGACGGUACUAUUUGUAAGGUCCGGCUAACUACGUGCCAGCAGCCGCGGUAAUACGUAGGGACCAAGCGUUGUUCGGAUUUACUGGGCGUAAAGGGCGCGUAGGCGGUGUGUCAAGUCAGUUGUGAAAUCUCCGAGCUUAACUCGGAACGGUCAACUGAUACUGUCACACUAGAGUACAGAAGGGGCAAUCGGAAUUCUUGGUGUAGCGGUGAAAUGCGUAGAUAUCAAGAGGAACACCUGAGGCGAAGGCGGGUUGCUGGGCUGAUACUGACGCUGAGGCGCGAAAGCUAGGGUAGCAAACGGGAUUAGAUACCCGGUAGUCCCUGAGCGGGCUGGCAAGGCGCAU
This 446-nucleotide ribosomal RNA is filed under the name uncultured bacterium. RNAcentral describes it as "bacterial SSU rRNA". It matches the Rfam family "Bacterial small subunit ribosomal RNA", at positions 355 to 825 of the family's 1533-position model. The record is from RNAcentral.